UGGGGAAUAUUGCACAAUGGGCGCAAGCCUGAUGCAGCCAUGCCGCGUGUAUGAAGAAGGCCUUCGGGUUGUAAAGUACUUUCAGUCGGGAGGAAGGUGUCAAGGUUAAUAACCUUGGCAAUUGACGUUACCGACAGAAGAAGCACCGGCUAACUCCGUGCCAGCAGCCGCGGUAAUACGGAGGGUGCAAGCGUUAAUCGGAAUUACUGGGCGUAAAGCGCACGCAGGCGGUUGAUUGAGUCAGAUGUGAAAUCCCCGGGCUUAACCCGGGAAUUGCAUCUGAUGCUGGUCAGCUAGAGUCUUGUAGAGGGGGGUAGAAUUCCAUGUGUAGCGGUGAAAUGCGUAGAGAUGUGGAGGAAUACCGGUGGCGAAGGCGGCCCCCUGGACAAAGACUGACGCUCAGGUGCGAAAGCGUGGGGAGCAAACAGG
Molecule: ribosomal RNA, 429 nt
Filed under: Chloroflexota bacterium
Lineage: Bacteria; Bacillati; Chloroflexota
Description: Chloroflexi bacterium partial 16S ribosomal RNA
Rfam family: Bacterial small subunit ribosomal RNA
Source: RNAcentral